This 503-nucleotide ribosomal RNA is filed under the name uncultured bacterium. RNAcentral describes it as "partial 16S ribosomal RNA". It matches the Rfam family "Bacterial small subunit ribosomal RNA", at positions 30 to 523 of the family's 1533-position model. The record is from RNAcentral.
AUUGAACGCUGGCGGCAGGCUUGACACAUGCAAGUCGAGCGGGGUGAUGGUGCUUGCACUAUCACUUAGCGGCGGACGGGUGAGUAAUGCUUAGGAAUCUGCCUAUUAGUGGGGGACAACAUCUCGAAAGGGAUGCUAAUACCGCAUACUUUCUACGGGAGAAAGCAGGGGAUCACUUGUGACCUUUCGCUAACAGAUGAGCCAAAGUCGGAUUAGCUAGUUGGUGGGGUAAAGGCCUACCAAGGCGACGAUCUGGAGCGGGUCUGAGAGGAUGAUCCGCCACACUGGGACUGAGACACGGCCCAGACUCCUACGGGAGGCAGCAGUGGGGAAUAUUGGACAAUGGGGGGAACCCUGAUCCAGCCAUGCCGCGUGUGUGAAGAAGGCCUUAUGGUUGUAAAGCACUUUAAGCGAGGAGGAGGCUCUUUUGGUUAAUACCCAAGAUGAGUGGACGUUACUCGCAGAAUAAGCACCGGCUAACUCUGUGCCAGCCGCCGCGGUAA